ACAGCAGAAUAGAGAAGCAGGCCGCCGCGCUGCCCGCAGCACCGAUCCAUCCAUCCAUCCAUCCAUCCAUCAGGUACCAACCCCAACGCCUCCCCUUCUCCCUCCCUCCACUCCACCCCACUCUCCCUCUCUCUUUCUCUUCCUACACUCGAACGGAACGGUGCUGAUAUCAUCCGCGCCGCCGCACGUUGCAGAGGGGAAAAAGAAGGCAAGGAAAAGGCGCUUUCCGAGCAGAAAAAAAGGAUCUGGCCGCUUUACGCUUCUCCUCCGCGGGAUUUUGAUUCCCCCCACACCAUCAUCCACCAAUCAUCGUCGUCGCCAGGUACGUGCGUGCCGCCCUUCCUCGUCUCGAGGUUCCGUCGGUCGUCUUCUCCUUCGCCGGCGGGCCUCGUCGAGAUUUGCUUUCGGUUUUUUUACUCUGGCCAGCGAGACGCGGCGUGCAUGUCGCCAGCGGGCGACGCGGCUAUAACCGAGUCGGCGCUGAUCCGUUGUUUCAGGCGGGCGGCGCGCUAGCUAGGACCACAGAAGUCAACGCCGGCGGCGGGCCGCGCUCAGAUCCGAAGGCGGGGCAGGCGAACAGCGGCGGUGAUCG
Molecule: long non-coding RNA, 592 nt
Filed under: Triticum aestivum (bread wheat)
Lineage: Eukaryota; Viridiplantae; Streptophyta; Magnoliopsida; Poales; Poaceae
Description: long non-coding RNA (TAES_LNC026353)
Source: RNAcentral